This 467-nucleotide ribosomal RNA is filed under the name uncultured bacterium. Its description in RNAcentral is "partial 16S ribosomal RNA". It matches the Rfam family "Bacterial small subunit ribosomal RNA", at positions 28 to 507 of the family's 1533-position model. The record is from RNAcentral.
GACGAACGCUGGCGGCGUGCUUAACACAUGCAAGUCGAACGGAAAGGCCUCUUUCGGGGGGUACUCGAGUGGCGAACGGGUGAGUAACACGUGAGUAACCUGCCCUUUACUUUGGGAUAACUUCAGGAAACUGGGGCUAAUACCGGAUAGGAGCUCCUGCUGCAUGGUGGGGGUUGGAAAGUUUCGGCGGUUGGGGAUGGACUCGCGGCUUAUCAGCUUGUUGGUGGGGUAGUGGCUUACCAAGGCUUUGACGGGUAGCCGGCCUGAGAGGGUGACCGGCCACCUUGGGACUGAGGUACGGCCCAGACUCCUACGGGAGGCAGCAGUGGGGAAUAUUGCACAAUGGGUGGAAGCCUGAUGCAGCAACGCCGUGUGCGGGAUGACGGCCUUCGGGUUGGAAACCGCUUUCGCUCAUGACGAAGCUUUGUGUGACGGUAGUGGGUAAAGAAGCACCGGCUAACUACGUG